Molecule: long non-coding RNA, 1227 nt
Organism: Rhinolophus ferrumequinum (greater horseshoe bat)
Lineage: Eukaryota; Metazoa; Chordata; Mammalia; Chiroptera; Rhinolophidae
Exons: 5
Source: RefSeq, a predicted model, not a curated record
CUUGCAAGGCGAGGAGAGGAUUCUUCAAACGGCAAGAGAGAGACCAGCAUUGAGGUAGACUUUGAUUUUGCUUUCUGUGAUUAAAAAAACCCAGUCAUCAGGCAUGUGGAUCCUGCUUAUAAUGCAACAGUGGAAAGAAAAAUGCUUCAGGUGAUAGAAACACGAAAAGAUUAACUUACUACCCAAGCAUGACUUGGCCGUAAGCUUGAAGACUCAGGACCACCGGCCUCCCGAGGUCACCUACUUCACACCUAUCGCAUUUGCCACAAGAAGACCAAGGUUCAGAGGGCGAAGUGGCGGUCCUGGGAAGCCCCUGCAUCGUCACUGGUAGGGGCAGGCCGGGUCACAGAUGCCCCGCCAUUUUUUUCUAGCACCCUGGAAUUUCAGCGGAGACAGAAUACACUAAUGAGGAGAAUCUUUGACAAAAUGGAGACACAGAGGAGCAUCUUCUAACCUGUGUGCCUCUGCCUCAGAGUCUAUUCCGGCUUCCCUCUCCCCAACAACACAGCUUCUGAGCUGCUUCUCCGGUGCCCUCAGCUCCAGACCUGAACACUCAGCCUCUCUAACAUCCUCCACAUCAAAGUGUGUGAGUUCCAUAGCCUCCGGGCCCAAUGGCAUGUGCAUUAGGUACCUAGCUCUGCUGCUAAUCACUGCCUUGCCUCAGCCAAGUCACUCAGUGUCUCUGAGACUUAGUCGUCUUCUGAUGGCAAAUGAGAGAGUUGGAUAGCUUCCAAGAGCCCUUCCUCUCAGCUCUAGCAUCCUAUUAUUUAUGCCAAUGGCUACUCGUGGGUUAGCAUGCCUCGUCAUGUUUCCAGAGCUCUUCUUACCGCUCCCGGUGCCUUCACAUGCACUAGCUCCCUGCUGCUCACCCCAGGCCCCAGCAGACAAGAGACAGUUGAUUGAAACACUGAGAUGGCUGAGGCCUGAGUACCUUCCAAGCACACCCUUAGCCGCAUCGAGGCUGUACAACUGGAUGUCUCCAUGCAAAAGGAGAGAGCUGGACCCUUACCUCACACCAUAUAUAAACAUUAACUCAAAAUGGAUCAAAGUCCUAAAUGCAAGAGCCCAAAACUACGAAACUCUUAGAAGCAAACAUAGGAGUAAAUUUUUGUGACCUUGGAUUUAGCAAUAGAUUCUUGAAUAUGACAUCUAAAGCACAAGCAACAAAAGAAAAUAGGUAAAUCAUACUUCAUCAAAAUUAAAAAUCUUUGUGCUUCAAAAGACACU